AUGGAUGACAUCAAGCUGUACGCCAAGAGUGAGCGAGACAUCGACUCACUGAUCCACACCACCAGGAUCUACAGCUCGGACAUCGGGAUGUCAUUCGGGCUCGAGAAAUGUGGGAGGAUGGUGACAAAGAGAGGCAAGGUAAUCCACACAGAAGGGGUCUCACUCCCAGAAGGAACAAUAGCAGACAUUGAGGACAGUUACAAGUACCUUGGAAUACCACAGGCAAACGGCAACCUUGAACAGGCAACAAGGAAUGCGGCAACAGCCAAAUACCUCCAACGAGUAAGGCAAGUCCUAAGAAGCCAGCUCAAUGGCAAGAACAAAUCCCAGGCAAUAAACAGCUACGCCCUGCCAGUGAUCAGAUACCCUGCGGGAAUAAUAAGGUGGCCAAAGGAAGAAAUACAGACCACAGAUGUUAAGACACGAAAGCUCCUCACCAUGCAUGGAGGGUUCCACCCCAAAUCCAGCACCCUGAGACUGUACGCUAGCCGCAAGGAAGGAGGCCGAGGACUAGUGAGCGUGAGAGCCACUAUCCAGGAUGAAACAUCCAAGAUCCAUAAGUACAUCAAGGAUAAGGCCCCGACAGAUGACGUUCUGAGUGAAUGUCUCAGGCAGUGGAGAACAGAGGAUGAGAUGCUGGAAGAGGGACCAUCAUGGGAGGACAAGCCCUUACACGGGAUGUACCACCGGAACAUAACUGAAGUGGCUGAUCUCAACAAAUCCUACCAAUGCCUUGAAAGGGCUGGGCUAAAGGACAGCACAGAGGCACUCAUCCUGGCUGCACAGGAGCGGGCCCUGAGCACCAGAGCCAUAGAGGCCCAGAUCUACCACACCAGACAAGACCCAAGGUGUAGACUGUGCAAAGAGGCCCCUGAGACGGUCCAGCACAUAACUGCAGGGUGUAAGAUGCUGGCAGGGAAAGCAUACAUGGAACGCCAUAACCAAGUGGCUGGCAUAGUAUACAGGAACAUCUGCGCAGAGUAUGGACUGGAAACCAAGGUCAAAGUGGGAAACACCUCCCAAGGUGGUAGAGAACGAGCGAGCCAAGAUCCUGACUUCCAGAUACAGACAGACAGAAUGGUAAUGGCGAACCAACCAGACAUUGUGGUGGUGGACAAAGAGCAGAGGAAACUCGUAGUGGUGGAUGUGGCAAUACCAAGCGAUGGCAACAUCAGGAAAAAGGAACAUGAGAAACUAGAAAAAUACCAAGCGUUCAGAGAAGAACUGGAGAAGGCUUGGAAGGUGAAGGCCACAGUGGUUCCUGUGGUGAUUGGAGCACUAGGGGCAGUGACCCCCAAACUGGAGGAGUGGCUACAACAGAUCCCUGGAAAAACAUCCGACAUCUCAGUCCAGAAAAGUGCAGUCCUAGGAACAGCAAGGAUACUGCGCAGAACCCUCAAGCUCCCUAGAUCAUGUUAG
This 1419-nucleotide long non-coding RNA is filed under the name Betta splendens (Siamese fighting fish). Its description in RNAcentral is "lncRNA (ENSBSLG00000003425.1)". Lineage: Eukaryota; Metazoa; Chordata; Actinopteri; Anabantiformes; Osphronemidae. The record is from RNAcentral.